AGAAAAAAGAAUAUUUAGAACAGAGCAGUUUACUCAGAUGAAUGAGUCAGUCAGGAUGACCACUUCCUUGGAAAAAUGCUGUUCUUGUUCUUGACAAAUUCAGAAGGUAAUCUUCCUUUUACUGAAAAAAUGCCAAUAUAAACUCUGUUUAGAAGACAAGGACUGUUUUUUAACUUACAGGAGCUUACUAAAUAGUUUAUAUAAUAGAUUUUGUUUUGCAUCUAAAUCUAUCUGCUCAUAGUUGGAUAUAUCCAAGAAGUUUGUAUUGUUAGGAUCGUAUGUAUUAUAUUUAUGGAAAUGUCUUUCAGCCUGAAGGAUCCCAGUGCACUUAUGAAUACUUCAAUUCAUUACUGGAACGAAUUCUUUUCCCAAUAAAUCAGGAGCUUUGUUUCUUAGGUGAGAUAUGCUGUGGUACAGCCAUACAGAUGGGUAGAAGCACAUAGCUUUCAAGACAAUUUAAACAACAAGAUCCAUCAGAUCUUCCUGGGCAAGGUGACUAUGAAAACAUGCACGGUAUUAUUUAUGUAUGUAUGUAUGUAUGUAUGUAUGUAUGUAUGUAUGUAUGUAUUUAUUUAUUUAUUUAUUUUUGUAGGGGAAUAUUGACUUAGGAUUUUUAGUAUUUUACACAGGUUUAAAUUAGAGAUGCCUUUUUUGUUCUCCAAGGCACAUUCAAUUCAAAAGUAAAAAUCUUUUAUAAUGCACUUACUGCAUAUACUGAAAAUAUACUUUUUUUUUUUCUCCCCAAAAGAAAUGAACACAUACAUGAAUGUAAAAGAGAUACUAAUCUAAUAAGAUGUGUAAAAGUGUUUAUUUUGGAUCUAGUUCAAGUCCCCAUGAGUUUGAUCCUUAUUUAAAUACAGAGAAAAUUAAACCCAUUUUUGGAUAGAUCUACAGAAGAGUACAGUGCUGAAACUCUUGAGAAAUUUAAGCAGGACAAUUGAAUUAUACCAGGCUGGAAUUUGGACAUUUGUUUAGACUAACAUUUUUUGCUUAUCAAGGGUACCUUUCACUUCCUUGUUCCUUUACUUCACAAUUAACAGCUCGGGUUGGGAUUUUGGCCUAGAAAUUAUACUUUCAUUGACUUUAAUGAUGUGCAGUUCAGCACUUGGAGUUCAUGGUACAUAUUUCAUAAUGCUGAUAAGCUGAUAGUGGAGGCAUUUUUUAAAUGCUACUGGCUAUCUCACAGCAAAUUUCCAUUUAGAGAGAGUCACGCAAUUCUGUUAUCUGUUCUCAUUUAAUCUGUGGUCAAGGUAGAACUUACACAAAAUUUAAUGCAUGCUCAUGCACAGGUUUAGCAAUAAUAGGGUGGCAGUUGUGAAAUAUAUCUAAAACUUCAGAAGAUAAGGUCUCAGAUGAAGAUGAAUUUGUUCCCUAAAAAGUAUGUAUUCUUGAUAUGUUUUGUGCAGACAUACUGAGUUUGUGCAGGCUCCAGUAUUUGAAUCAACAGCAGGAAUGGAGACAGAGCCCAAAGUAGGAAGUGAUGCUGUGGGGGCUCCUGUGCUUGCCUAUAUAGCCAGUGUUGACACUGGUGCCUUGAGUUAGUAAGUAAAGGCUGGAGUUUGUACAGAGGUACCACAAUUCAUUUAAUUUCCUCAGUGUUUAUUAUAAAAGUUUGCAAGUUCAAGCUGAAGACAGCAUGAUCCUCUGUUAUUGUUUUACAACAAUAAACACUGCUAAUAGUAAAGAGAGAUAUUUUAC
Molecule: long non-coding RNA, 1698 nt
Filed under: Anas platyrhynchos platyrhynchos (common mallard)
Lineage: Eukaryota; Metazoa; Chordata; Aves; Anseriformes; Anatidae
Description: lncRNA (ENSAPLG00000019379.1)
Source: RNAcentral